GCUUACGGCCAUACCAACCUGGCUAUGCCAGAUCUCGUCUGAUCUCAGAAGCUAAGCAGGUUUGGGCCUUGUUAGUACUUGGAUGGGAGACCGCCUGGGAAUACCAGGUGCUGUAAGCU
Molecule: ribosomal RNA, 119 nt
Filed under: Carassius auratus (goldfish)
Lineage: Eukaryota; Metazoa; Chordata; Actinopteri; Cypriniformes; Cyprinidae
Source: RNAcentral